RNAcentral lists this ribosomal RNA (760 nucleotides) under uncultured Eikenella sp. RNAcentral's name for it is "bacterial SSU rRNA". It matches the Rfam family "Bacterial small subunit ribosomal RNA", at positions 28 to 776 of the family's 1533-position model. Lineage: Bacteria; Pseudomonadati; Pseudomonadota; Betaproteobacteria; Neisseriales; Neisseriaceae. The record is from RNAcentral.
AUUGAACGCUGGCGGCAUGCUUUACACAUGCAAGUCGAACGGCAGCGGGGUAGUGCUUGCACUACUGUCCGGCGAGUGGCGAACGGGUGAGUAAUAUAUCGGAACGUACCGAGUAAUGGGGGAUAACCAAUCGAAAGAUUGGCUAAUACCGCAUACGUCCUGAGGGAGAAAGCGGGGGAUCGCAAGACCUCGCGUUAUUCGAGCGGCCGAUAACUGAUUAGCUAGUUGGUGGGGUAAAGGCCUACCAAGGCGACGAUCAGUAGCGGGUCUGAGAGGACGAUCCGCCACACUGGGACUGAGACACGGCCCAGACUCCUACGGGAGGCAGCAGUGGGGAAUUUUGGACAAUGGGGGCAACCCUGAUCCAGCCAUGCCGCGUGUAUGAAGAAGGCCUUCGGGUUGUAAAGUACUUUUGUUAGGGAAGAAAAGGGAAGUGCUAAUACCACUUUUUGCUGACGGUACCUAAAGAAUAAGCACCGGCUAACUACGUGCCAGCAGCCGCGGUAAUACGUAGGGUGCGAGCGUUAAUCGGAAUUACUGGGCGUAAAGCGAGCGCAGACGGUUAUUUAAGCAGGAUGUGAAAUCCCCGGGCUUAACCUGGGAACUGCGUUCUGAACUGGAUAGCUAGAGUGUGUCAGAGGGGGGUAGAAUUCCACGUGUAGCAGUGAAAUGCGUAGAGAUGUGGAGGAAUACCGAUGGCGAAGGCAGCCCCCUGGGAUAACACUGACGUUCAUGCUCGAGAGCGUGGGUAGCAAACAGG